UACGGAAGGUGCAAGCGUUAAUCGGAAUUACUGGGCGUAAAGCGCGCGUAGGUGGCGUGAUAAGCCGGUUGUGAAAGCCCCGGGCUCAACCUUGGAACGGCAUCCGGUACUGGCACGCUAGAGUGCAGGAGAGGAAGGUAGAAUUCCCGGUGUAGCGGUGAAAUGCGUAGAGAUCGGGAGGAAUACCAGUGGCGAAGGCGGCCUUCUGGACUGAUACUGAUACUGAGGUGCGAAAGCGUGGGUAGCAAACAGG
Molecule: unclassified non-coding RNA, 253 nt
Filed under: uncultured Halomonadaceae bacterium
Lineage: Bacteria; Pseudomonadati; Pseudomonadota; Gammaproteobacteria; Oceanospirillales; Halomonadaceae
Description: contains 16S-23S intergenic spacer region
Rfam family: Bacterial small subunit ribosomal RNA
Source: RNAcentral